AGCAGAGUGAGAAAUGAAGACCACUUCACCAUUCCUUAUUAUUACAGUGAAGACUUCAGAUCCAACUCUGAUCUCACUCUUGU
This is a small nucleolar RNA of Dromaius novaehollandiae (emu), 83 nucleotides long. NCBI's taxonomy places the organism in Eukaryota, Metazoa, Chordata, Aves, Casuariiformes, Dromaiidae. The record is from Ensembl.